AGACUCUGGUUUCUCUUCAGAUCGUACAAAUCUUUUGCCUUUUACUAAAGAUUUCUGUGGAGAGGAGUAACUCUGAGUCCCCAACAG
This 87-nucleotide small nuclear RNA is filed under the name Octodon degus (degu). RNAcentral describes it as "U5 spliceosomal RNA (ENSODEG00000024444.1)". It matches the Rfam family "U5 spliceosomal RNA". Rfam says of the family: U5 RNA is a component of both types of known spliceosome. The precise function of this molecule is unknown, though it is known that the 5' loop is required for splice site selection and p220 binding, and that both the 3' stem-loop and the Sm site are important for Sm protein binding and cap methylation. The record is from Rfam by way of RNAcentral. Lineage: Eukaryota; Metazoa; Chordata; Mammalia; Rodentia; Octodontidae.